This 508-nucleotide ribosomal RNA is filed under the name uncultured bacterium. RNAcentral's name for it is "partial 16S ribosomal RNA". It matches the Rfam family "Bacterial small subunit ribosomal RNA", at positions 28 to 523 of the family's 1533-position model. The record is from RNAcentral.
GAUGAACGCUAGCUACAGGCUUAACACAUGCAAGUCGAGGGGAAACGAUAUUGGAAGCUUGCUUCCGAUAGGCGUCGACCGGCGCACGGGUGAGUAACGCGUAUCCAACCUGCCCAUCACUUGGGGAUAACCUUGCGAAAGUAAGACUAAUACCCAAUGACGUCUCUAGAAGACAUCUGAAAGAGAUUAAAGAUUUAUCGGUGAUGGAUGGGGAUGCGUCUGAUUAGCUUGUUGGCGGGGUAACUGCCCACCAAGGCGACGAUCAGUAGGGGUUCUGAGAGGAAGGUCCCCCACAUUGGAACGUAGACACGGUCCAAACUCCUACGGGAGGCAGCAGUGAGGAAUAUUGGUCAAUGGGCGAGAGCCUGAACCAGCCAAGUAGCGUGCAGGGUGACGGCCCUAUGGGUUGUAAACCGCUUUUAUAAGGGAAUAAAGUGAGAGUCGUGACUCUUUUUGCAUGUACCUUAUGAAUAAGGACCGGCUAAUUCCGUGCCAGCCGCCGCGGUAA